RNAcentral lists this ribosomal RNA (497 nucleotides) under uncultured bacterium. RNAcentral describes it as "partial 16S ribosomal RNA". It matches the Rfam family "Bacterial small subunit ribosomal RNA", at positions 28 to 507 of the family's 1533-position model. The record is from RNAcentral.
GAUGAACGCUGGCGGCGUGCCUAAUACAUGCAAGUCGAGCGGACGGACGAGGCGCUUGCUUCUCUGAUGUUAGCGGAGGGCGGGUGAGUAACACGUGGAUACCCUCCUUAUAAGACUGGGAUCACUUCGGGAAACCGGCGCUAAUACCGGAUAAUAUUUUGAACCGCAUGGUUCAAUAGUAAAAUACGGUCUUGCUGUCACUACUCGCUGGAUCCGCGCUGCAUUAGCUAGUUGGUACGGUAACGGCUUACCAAGGCUACGAUGCCUAGCCGACCUGCGAGAGUGAUCGGCCACACUGGAAGUGAGACAGGGUCCAGAGUCCUGCGGGAGGCAGCAGUAGGGAACGUGCCGCAGUGGGCGAGAGCCUGGCGGAGCAACGCCGCGUGAGUGAUGAAGGUCUUCGGAGCGGAAAGAUCUGUUAUUGGGGAAGAACAGAUGUGGAAGGAACUGAGCACAGCGUGACGGUACCGAAUCAGGAAGCCACGGCUAACUACGUG